Molecule: ribosomal RNA, 499 nt
Filed under: uncultured bacterium
Lineage: Bacteria
Description: partial 16S ribosomal RNA
Rfam family: Bacterial small subunit ribosomal RNA
Source: RNAcentral
GAUGAACGCUGGCGGCGUGCCUAAUACAUGCAAGUCGAGCGAACAGACGAGAGUGCUUGCACUCUCUGCCGUUAGCGGCGGACGGGUGAGUAACACGUGGGUAACCUACCUAUAAGACUGAGAUAACUUCGGGAAACCGGAGCUAAUACCGGAUAAUAUUUAGCUUCGCAUGAAGCAAUAGUGAAAGACGGUUCUGCUGUCACUUAUAGAUGGACCCGCGGUGUAUUAGCUAGUUGGUGAGGUAACGGCUCACCAAGGCAACGAUACAUAGCCGACCUGAGAGGGUGAUCGGCCACACUGGAACUGAGACACGGCCCAGACUCCUACGGGAGGCAGCAGUAGGGAAUCUUCCGCAAUGGACGAAAGUCUGACGGAGCAAUGCCGCGUGAGUGAAGAAGGUUUUCGGAUCGUAAAACUCUGUUGUAAGGGAAGAACAAGUACGUUAGUAACUGAACGUACCUUGACGGUACCUUACCAGAAAGCCACGGCUAACUACGUG